This 245-nucleotide ribosomal RNA is filed under the name uncultured bacterium. RNAcentral's name for it is "partial 16S ribosomal RNA". It matches the Rfam family "Bacterial small subunit ribosomal RNA", at positions 524 to 768 of the family's 1533-position model. The record is from RNAcentral.
GACAGAGGGUGCAAACGUUGUUCGGAAUUACUGGGCGUAAAGCGCGUGUAGGCUGCUUCGAAAGUCGGAUGUGAAAGCCCUGGGCUCAACCUAGGAAGUGCAUUCGAAACUUCGGAGCUGGAGUCUUGGAGAGGGUCGCGGAAUUCUCGGUGUAGAGGUGAAAUUCGUAGAUAUCGAGAGGAACACCGGUGGCGAAGGCGGCGACCUGGACAAUGACUGACGCUGAGACGCGAAAGCGUGGGGAG